CCUACGGGCGGCAUCAGUGAGGAAUAUUGGUCAAUGGACGAGAGUCUGAACCAGCCAAGUAGCGUGAAGGAUGACUGCCCUAUGGGUUGUAAACUUCUUUUAUAUGGGAAUAAAAUGUUCCACGUGUGGGAUUUUGUAUGUACCAUAUGAAUAAGGAUCGGCUAACUCCGUGCCAGCAGCCGCGGUAAUACGGAGGAUCCGAGCGUUAUCCGGAGUUAUUGGGUUUAAAGGGAGCGUAGGUGGAUUGUUAAGUCAGUUGUGAAAGUUUGCGGCUCAACCGUAAAAUUGCAGUUGAAACUGGCAGUCGUGAGUACAGUAGAGGUGGGCGGAAUUCGUGGUGUAGCGGUGAAAUGCUUAGAUAUCACGAAGAACUCCGAUUGCGAAGGCAGCUCACUGGACUGCAACUGACACUGAGGCUCGAAAGUGUGGGUAUCAAACAGGAUUAGAUACCCCUGUAGUC
This 460-nucleotide ribosomal RNA is filed under the name uncultured bacterium. RNAcentral's name for it is "partial 16S ribosomal RNA". It matches the Rfam family "Bacterial small subunit ribosomal RNA", at positions 338 to 795 of the family's 1533-position model. The record is from RNAcentral.